GCUCUGUGCCUCGUUUGUUUGUUGGUUGAAUUUGAACUUUGCUUAAUCAUAUGGUGAUUAUGACAAAUAACUUUUGUUCCUUUCCUAUUAGAGUGGACCACUUGCUGCAUAUUAUAAGCUUCCACUCAACCGCGUGAUUGUGUUUCAUGAUGAUAUGGAUUUGCCAUGUGGGGUACUUCGUCUUCACCCUAAAGGAGGUCAUCAUAGUCACAAUGGAUUAAAGAGUGUGAUUUAUCAUUUUCGCGGAAACAAAGAGUUUCCUCGAUUAAGAAUAGGUUGGUGA
Molecule: long non-coding RNA, 283 nt
Organism: Ipomoea nil (Japanese morning glory)
Lineage: Eukaryota; Viridiplantae; Streptophyta; Magnoliopsida; Solanales; Convolvulaceae
Exons: 3
Source: RefSeq, a predicted model, not a curated record